AUAUCAAUGAGUGUUUGAGUAUCAGUGCCCCGUGCCCUAUCGGGCAUACAUGCAUCAACACGGAGGGCUCCUACACGUGCCAGAAGAACGUGCCCAACUGUGGCCGUGGCUACCAUCUCAACGAGGAGGGAACGCGCUGUGUUGAUGUGGACGAGUGCGCGCCACCUGCUGAGCCCUGUGGGAAGGGACAUCGCUGCGUGAACUCUCCCGGCAGUUUCCGCUGCGAAUGCAAGACGGGUUACUAUUUCGACGGCAUCAGCAGGAUGUGUGUGGAUGUCAACGAGUGCCAGCGCUACCCCGGGCGCCUGUGUGGCCACAAGUGCGAGAACACGCUGGGCUCCUACCUCUGCAGCUGUUCCGUGGGCUUCCGGCUCUCUGUGGACGGCAGGUCAUGUGAAGACAUCAAUGAGUGCAGCAGCAGCCCCUGUAGCCAGGAGUGUGCCAACGUCUACGGCUCCUACCAGUGUUACUGCCGGCGAGGCUACCAGCUCAGCGAUGUGGAUGGAGUCACCUGUGAAGACAUUGAUGAGUGUGUGACUGGCAUCCACAACUGCUCCAUCAAUGAGACCUGCUUCAACAUCCAGGGUGGCUUCCGCUGCCUGGCCUUCGAGUGCCCUGAGAACUACCGCCGCUCCGCAGCCACGGUGGAAGCCUUGGGCAAGCUCUCUGGGCCUCAGUUUCCUCAUCUGUAACAUGCAGAUGUCAGAACGUACUCUGACUUAGAUGCAUAGGUAGCAGUGUCUCCAUGUCAGCCCAGAGCCAGGGAGCUGAUGUGACCUGUUGGACGUUGUUGUUAGGUGCCCAUCUGAAAGCCAGAAUUCGUCCAGCCUGGUGACUGUGGGAACAGCAUCAAAGAUUCCACAUCCUAAA
This 870-nucleotide small RNA is filed under the name Pan troglodytes (chimpanzee). RNAcentral's name for it is "processed transcript". The record is from RNAcentral. Lineage: Eukaryota; Metazoa; Chordata; Mammalia; Primates; Hominidae.